This is a non-coding RNA of Caenorhabditis brenneri, 62 nucleotides long. The record is from Rfam. NCBI's taxonomy places the organism in Eukaryota, Metazoa, Nematoda, Chromadorea, Rhabditida, Rhabditidae.
UACCCGUAGCUCCUAUCCAUGUUGUUAUCAAAGAAGUCAACAUGGAAGUUGGUACUGGUGCA